CCUACUCGAGCCAAGUCCCAGCCAAUGAGGGAUGAGUUCCCUCAUGAAUAUUCACGAGCUUUUCGCCGAAGUACGCUGACGCGCGUCAAAUGACCCGCAUGUUCAUUUUCACUCAUUCAGAUUCAUCAACUCCGAUUGAACGGCGCUCACCAAGUAUUUCUCCGACGAAAACUUUGUUAAACCCGAAUGAACUAGCAUUUUUUCAAUUCAUUGAUCACUUUUAUAGCCAUGGUUUCGCCUAGGGAUCAGAUCUUGUUCAUCAUAUUUCUACUGCUGCUGAACUCGGUCUUGGGGAAACCGGAGGGUGAGUAAUAUUUUAUUGCAAUAUUAAUAAUAAUUCGAUCUCGCUAAUGACGCUCAUAUUUUGGGAUGGGAUUAGCCUUUACUGUGGAGCACACUGCCUGCGUCUGCCUUGUAAAGGCUUUAAUCCGUCAUUGGGACGAGUGAGAUAGCGAGGAAACAACCGGUGAAGUGUGUGUUUGUAUGCGCGCGUGCGUGUGUGUUUGUGUGCGCGCGUGCGUGUGUGUGUGUUGCAAGGUUUUGAAUAAUAUACUUGGUUCUCAUUUGGUUGGUUUUAUAUUAUUUAAAGUUACCUUAAGUAAAUACUAUUUGGAGAAGGUAACUGCAAAUCGGUCUUAUUUUUCCUUGUCUAGAGGUCUACAUGAGUAAAAGUUGGCUCAUCUUACCCCACUCUGCCCUAUACAGCUAGAAGGAGAUAUCUUACCACCAGGUGUGAGUGUGAUUAGCCGUUACAAGACAUUCUGAAAAUCUGCCUCUUCUGACUUCACAAAUAUGCGUGUCCACCUAGAAUGUAUGCUGGAUAGAUCAGUCUAUCAGCUAGAGCUGUAGCGACGCGUCGGUGACGUCGACGUCUAAAAUGUUUCGACGUCAAAUUUCUCCGUCGACGAUUUUCGCCACACGAGAAAAAAAUAUUGCAAAAUGUACGAAAGUCACAAUAAAGGAAAUGUCCGCGACCGAAAUUAUCAAUGGUAUGGAAAUACUUCAAGUUAAGUCCUAAACGGAAAGGUGUUGUGAUUUGCACUCCUUGCCAAAUGGAGAUGGCAUAUCAAAAGAGCACGACAGCAAUGUUGGAGCAUCUGAAACGGAGGCACCCAGUUGUCACUCGUGACGGAGACAAUUGCAAAAUAUGCAGUUGGGAGCAAUGUGACUCUUCGAACCAGGUAUGGAGGCAACGACCUAACCAGUGUUGACUGGAACCACGGUGAAAACAAUGUUGUGAAGUGGUUCGAGAACACUUUUAUGGCCUACAGCAACUUUAAAGGUAAGUUGAGAGAUCUUACCGGUCCAAAUGAUGUAGCAGACAUGUCCCAUGUCGUUAAUCGUUAAUUAUAACUAAUAUUUUUGUAGGUCGCACACAUCUGAACUACAACAACGGAGAUCUGACCCUCAUCGGUGUGACUGAGUCAGAGAGUGGGAAAUACACCGUAUACCUCAACGGCAAACACCGCUACACUAAGCAGCUCUUUAUCGAAGUCAUCCGUAAGUAUGGGCCAUGCGGGUAUAGCAUUGGAUGACUAUUUCUAUAGUACAAUUUAGCAGUUUCCUCCUAGCUGAGUGUAGAGGUGUCCCUGAGCAAGGCACCUCUCCCUAAAGGAAGGUUGCUGGCUCGAUCCCCGGCUCCUAGCUGAUUGUUAAGGUGACCCUGAGCAGGGCACCUCACUCUGACUGCUCCCCAAAGGAAGGUUGCUGGUUCGAUCCCCGGCUCCUCCUAGCUGAGUGUAACGGUGUCCCUGAGCAAGGCAUCUCACCCUAACUGCCACCUAAGGGAAGAAAUGCUAGUUCAAUCACCGGCUCCUCUUAGCUGACGGCUGAGUCGACCCCUCAGGGCGACAGCCAACUUGUAAGGAGCAGUCGGGGUGAGACGCCUCGCUCAGGGACACCUCGACACCCAGCUAGGAGGAGCCGGGGAUCCAACUAGCAGACUUCGGGUUACCAGCCAACCCGCCUCUACCUCCUGAUCGACUGCCGCCCUGUGACUAACGACUAACUGCGAACGUGUCUCUGUGUACAGAGCGCGUGCCUGUCCCCACGGUGAACAAGGCCACGGUCCCCCCCAGCACGGCCCCCCCCACCACGGCCCCCCCCAGCCCUGCGGAGCGCAACCGUUGUAUGUACACUUUCCUCCUCCUUCACCCUAAUGCGAGCACUGCUGUUUUAGCUUGUUUAGCUUUAUAACCUGCACUGCAUUUUCGGGGUGGCAUGUCGCUCAGGAGGUAGAGCGGGUUGGCUGGUAACCUGAAGGUUGCUAGUUCGAUCCCCGGCUCCUCCUAGCUGAGUGUCGAGGUGUCCCUGAGCGAGACGCCUCAACCUGACUGCUCCUGACGACGGAGUCGCCCUGAGGGGUCGACUCCGCCGCGUGCGCGUGUCAGUAUUGUCAAGCGCUUUGAGUGGCCACUGGUUAGAACAGAACUGUAUAAAUGAGGACCAUUUAGCAUUUUAGAAACGUGCUUCGCAUGCAA
Gadus morhua (Atlantic cod) is the source of this 2480-nucleotide long non-coding RNA. NCBI's taxonomy places the organism in Eukaryota, Metazoa, Chordata, Actinopteri, Gadiformes, Gadidae. The record is from Ensembl.